This 683-nucleotide ribosomal RNA is filed under the name Cardenasiodendron brachypterum. RNAcentral describes it as "eukaryotic LSU rRNA". The stretch from base 289 to 444 matches the Rfam family "5.8S ribosomal RNA". Lineage: Eukaryota; Viridiplantae; Streptophyta; Magnoliopsida; Sapindales; Anacardiaceae. The record is from RNAcentral.
GUUUCCGUAGGUGAACCUGCGGAAGGAUCAUUGUCGAAACCUGCCCAGCAGAACGACCCGUGAACCCGUAUCUCAACGCCGGGGGCCUGCGGGCCUCGCGCCCGUGCGCCCCCGCCCGCCCCGCGUCGGGUGUCGGACGUUCGCUCCCGCGUGCCUCCGCCCCCUCGCGGCGCUUCAACGAACCCCGGCGCGAAUCGCGCCAAGGAAAUCUUAACGAGAGGGCCCGCCCCCGUCGCCCCGGACACGGGACGCGCGCGGGACGCGUGGCCUUCUUUCAUUAUCUAUAACGACUCUCGGCAACGGAUAUCUCGGCUCUCGCAUCGAUUAAAAACGUAGCGAAAUGCGAUACUUGGUGUGAAUUGCAGAAUCCCGUGAACCAUCGAGUCUUUGAACGCAAGUUGCGCCCCAAGCCAUUAGGCCGAGGGCACGUCUGCCUGGGUGUCACGCAUCGUCGCCCCCCUCCCGGAUCCUUCGAUCGCGCGGCUGUGGGCGGAAGAUGGCCUCCCGUGUGCGUGCGCACGCGGUUGGCCCAAACACGAGUCCUCGGCGACGCGUCCCGCGACGAUCGGUGGCGUUUGAAACACGACCUAGUGAUCCCGUCGCGCGGUCGCGUCCUCCCCGGUGCGGACUCCCCGACCCUCGAGAGCGGGCGAGAGCCCGCUCGCGUCGCGACCCCAGGUCAG